UACGUAGGGCGCAAGCGUUAUCCGGAAUUAUUGGGCGUAAAGAGCUCGUAGGCGGUUUGUCGCGUCUGCCGUGAAAGUCCGGGGCUCAACUCCGGAUCUGCGGUGGGUACGGGCAGACUAGAGUGAUGUAGGGGGAGACUGGAAUUCCUGGUGUAGCGGUGAAAUUCGUAGAUAUCGGGAGGAACACCGAUGGCGAAGGCGGCGGCCUGGGUUGACACUGACGCUGAGGCGCGAAAGCGUGGGGAGCAAACAGG
RNAcentral lists this ribosomal RNA (254 nucleotides) under uncultured bacterium. RNAcentral describes it as "partial 16S ribosomal RNA". It matches the Rfam family "Bacterial small subunit ribosomal RNA", at positions 524 to 776 of the family's 1533-position model. The record is from RNAcentral.